GUAUCCUGUCCCCGUCUAAGGAUAAAGAGAACCAAAUGUUGGUGAUCCCAGUAGCAGAAUGGCCCUGUUGAGGUCAGAGGAGUCCUUAUGUCAUUCAUUGUAGAGAGACAUGCUGUAAAUUCUCCUACAUAAUUAAAUCUGUGACUUGUGGACAGGCAGUGCUCUCGGAGCAGGCCAGCGAUAAGACAGUCCAGCUGUAUGUAAUA
Molecule: non-coding RNA, 206 nt
Organism: Pelobates cultripes (western spadefoot toad)
Lineage: Eukaryota; Metazoa; Chordata; Amphibia; Anura; Pelobatidae
Source: the annotation of a GenBank genome assembly